AGCGAACGUUAGCGGCGCGCCUAACACAUGCAAGUCGCACGAGAAACGGAGCAAUCCGCGGUACAGUGGCGCACGGGUGAGUAACACGUGGAUGACCUUCCCUGGAGUGGUGGAUAACCUGCCGAAAGGCGGGCUAAUACAGCAUGGGACCACGACGCUUUGGCGAUGUGGUGAAAGCGGGCCUCUAUAUAUAAGCUCGCGCUCCGGGACGGGUCCGCGUCCCAUCAGCUAGUUGGUGAGGUAACGGCUCACCAAGGCAACGACGGGUAGCUGGUCUGAGAGGAUGGCCAGCCACACUGGAACUGAGACACGGUCCAGACUCCUACGGGAGGCAGCAGUGGGGAAUCUUGCGCAAUGGGCGAAAGCCUGACGCAGCGACGCCGCGU
This 386-nucleotide ribosomal RNA is filed under the name uncultured bacterium. RNAcentral describes it as "bacterial SSU rRNA". It matches the Rfam family "Bacterial small subunit ribosomal RNA", at positions 29 to 402 of the family's 1533-position model. The record is from RNAcentral.